GAAAAUCCUAACGAAGUAUAACUCUUUUUUUCCUGGAAAAAAACGGCGUAGGGCGGCCAGAUCCAAAUUGCGAUUGCGCAGCGCGCAAUUAAACCGGUGUGUCCGAAAUUUGUUAAAUUUUUGCGAGCGUGUUCUGCGGGAGGAAUCACAGCUAGCUACAAUUCAUACAGUAGUUCAAAAUAACCAUAUACGGUUUUGUGAAAUAGUGAGGCAGUAUUUUUCCAAUGUAUAUUGUAUAUAAUUAAUAUAUUAUAUUCUUUAUAUAUUGUGGAGCUUUCUUGCUAAAAUUUGUAAGGGAUUAUCGCAAAAUAUAUUCUUUUUAAAUUAUAACGGUUAUCAAUUACUCAACUGAUCAACUGAUUGCAAUUGUUUAUAAUCGAAAGAUGAUUAAAAAUAAAAAGAUUAAUUAAAUUUAAUAAAAUCCGUAAAAUGAGCUAUAAAAUAAAACCCCAAAGCCAAAAGUAUACCGUUGGUUGAACAAAAUUACAAAAACUGUUAUCCUGAACCGUUGUACUGAGAGUGAGUUAGUGGUGAAGGAGAAAAAAAAGUCAACUAGAAACUCACCAAAACAUGUCUCUCGGAGGCUGGACCGACAGCAAAGUGGGUAAAGCGAUAUCCCUGUCCUCGCUAAGCCAAGCACAUUCACUACAACAACCUAAUAGCAGCAAAAACGAGACACUAAUCAUAGAACCAGCAACCAACGUCCCAUCUCCCCCAGCAGAUAUAAUUUGUUUGUAAGUCGUUUGUAAACAUUUUCUUAUUUACCCUUGUUCUUUUCAUUUUUUUUUACGGAAAACUAUUUCAGUGGGUGUGUAGCGGGGAUGUAUAGGGCUAACAAAACACGACAGAACACGAACUGACAUCACAACUGCCAUCAGACAUUUGAGAGUUGAGCGACGGACGCGAGCCAGUCGUCUGAGAAUAUGCAAUGGAAACAAAACAGAGCUGGCAGAACAGCUGGCAAGCCAGCAGUAUGGCGACGCCGCCAUUGCCAGAAGGGCAGAUAGAUCCCGAGCACUCCUGCAGUAUUUGCGGGAGUGUAUUCUCAUCCCUAGCGCAAUUGAGACAACAUGGUAGGAGGGGUUCCUAAAGAGGGAGCUUAGCUGGGGUGCUAAAUAAUUGUCAACUUUGUGACCGAAAUUUCGCCACCUACGCAGAUUUUAGACGGCACGAGAGGCUGGCCCACCUCGUCCAAUAUAAUAAACACCUAGGCCCUACCAACUUCUCCAACUUCUCAGCCAUAGAGUCUUUGUCGCUCAAUGAAGAGAGAGGAAAAGACGCUCUGGCUGAGUGGGUUAAUAAGUUGACGGGCUGCAUCAGCAAAGUACGUCGCAACCCGACACGACAAACUGAGAAUCGGACAGUAAGACCCACCAAUAAGGCCACACGAGCUGCGAUGUACCAUCGUGCGAAAAAUUAGCGAAAAACCCUAAAAAAUUAGCCGACCUCAUUUUAGAAAAUUAAAAUUGGUAUCAAAUAAGCCCCACGAAUAUGACUGCCGCGAAAAGAAUUUUGCAGGAUCUUCGCCGAACAAUCGAUUAGCGAUAAUGAGCCGAUUGCAGAAGACUACGGAAGACGAGGGAAGACUACGUAAAAGUAAUUCACCUCCGCUUCAAUCUCUUGCCGUGCAGAAAAUUGCCAAUGGCAGGAAUCGAAUUGUCAUGUACUACAGGCUUGUCUCACAACGCAUGGUGAACGCAUUGCGCGCCACAAUGUAGUGCAGGACAAUAUAGAGACUGUAGCUAGGCGUAAUAGCUGGGGGAUAUCAGUUCAGCGACAUGUCAUUGGCAGAUAUGGACGCUUGCUCAAGCCGGAUCUCAUCCUAACCAAGGGAGACCGCGUGAUUGUUCCACAACGAAAACAUCUGUCAUAAAGGGGGGAAUAAUCAUUCACUCGACCUAUAUGAGAAAAGUGUGGGAGCCGUAUAUUAGAAACAGGAUCUUCUACCAAAUACGUAUUUAUACAUGUAUCUAAAUACAAUUAUAUAUGUGUAUGUUUAUAUGGAUAUAAUACUUAAUAAAGAACGGUUCUAAAUAUGUAAAGUAGAUACCAAGUAAGAGUAUAUAGAAAGGUAUUUUCAUAACCAAAUGCCUCGUCGUCUAAUUAGUGACGCGCAUGGAUGAAUUAAAGAGAUCCUUUCUGUCCCUAUCUACUAUCUAGCGAAACCACAGCCAAGGGAACGGGCUUGAAAAAAUUAGCGGGGAAAGAAGAUCCUGUUGAGCUUGACUCUAAUAUGGCAGUGUAAGGAGACAUAAGAAGUGUAGAAUAAGUGGGAGAUAUUGUUCUUUCGGGUUCAUUGUCGCCAAUGAAAUACCACUACUCUUAUUGUUUUCUUACUUACUGGAUUAAGUGGAACGUGUAUCAUUACUUAGCCAUUAUACGGAUACAUUUAUAUAACUCAUGGUAUUAGGGUCUGACGCAAGCUUUUUGAACAAAGUACUAAAGAAUUGGUUAUAUAAUUGUAAACAAAUUUUAAUGAGAUUGUUUGACAUUGCGGUGAUUAUUCAAUCAAUAUUUAGAAUUUGGUAUAACUCCCAAUACUCAGGUAUGAUCCAAUUCAAGGACAUUGCCAGGUAGGGAGUUUGACUAGGGCGGUACAUCUCUCAAAUAAUAACGGAGGUGUCCCAAGGCCAGCUCAGUGCGGGCAGAAACCACACAUAGAGCAAAAGGGCAAAAGCUGACUUGAUCUCGGUGUUAAGUACACACAGGGACAGCAAAAGCUCGGCCUAUCGAUCCUUUUGAUUUAAGGAAUUUUUAAUAAGAGGUGUCAGAAAAGUUACCAUAGGGAUAACUGGCUUAUGACGGUCAAGCGUUCAUAGCGACGUCGCUUUUUGAUCCUUUGAUGUCGGCUCUUCCUAUCAUUGUGAAGCAAAAUUCACCAAGUGUUGGAUUGUUCACCCAUGCAAUGGAGCUGGGUUUAGGCCGUCGUGAGACAGGUUAGUUUUACCCUACUAAUGACAAUAUGUUGUUGCGACAGCAUUCCUGCGUAGUACGGGAGGAACCGCGGGUACGGACCAAUGGCACAAUAUUUGUUCGAGCGAACAGUGGUGGCCUCUAAGGUCGUAUCCGAGCUGGACUGCAAUGAUAAAAAUGAGGCAAUUACAUUGCAUGGCUUUUAAACCAUUUAAAGUUUAUCAUUUUUUUAUGAUAAACGACAAUGGAAUGUGAUGCCAAUGUUUUAUUGUAACAUAACAAAUGCAGG
RNAcentral lists this ribosomal RNA (3202 nucleotides) under Glossina fuscipes fuscipes. RNAcentral's name for it is "eukaryotic LSU rRNA". The stretch from base 1730 to 3202 matches the Rfam family "Eukaryotic large subunit ribosomal RNA", at positions 1890 to 3284 of the family's 3401-position model. Lineage: Eukaryota; Metazoa; Arthropoda; Insecta; Diptera; Glossinidae. The record is from RNAcentral.